GACGAACGCUGGCGGCGUGCUUAACACAUGCAAGUCGAACGGAAAGGCCUCUUUCGGGGGGUACUCGAGUGGCGAACGGGUGAGUAACACGUGAGUAACCUGCCCUUGACUUUGGGAUAACUUCAGGAAACUGGGGCUAAUACCGGAUAGGAGCUCCUGCUGCAUGGUGGGGGUUGGAAAGUUUCGGCGGUUGGGGAUGGGCUCGCGGCUUAUCAGCUUGUUGGUGGGGUAGUGGGUUACCAAGGCUUUGACGGGUAGCCGGCCUGGGAGGGUGACCGGCCAAAAUGGGAAUGAGAAAAGGGCCAGAAUCCUAAGGGGGGGAAGAGUGGGGAAAAAUGGAAAAAGGGUGGGAGCCUGAUGCAGGAAAGGCGGGGGCGGGAAGAAGGCCUUCGGGUUGGAAAACGGUUUCGCUAAUGACGAAGGUUUGUGUGACGGUAGUGGGUAAAGAAGCACCGGCUAACUACGUG
Molecule: ribosomal RNA, 467 nt
Filed under: uncultured bacterium
Lineage: Bacteria
Description: partial 16S ribosomal RNA
Rfam family: Bacterial small subunit ribosomal RNA
Source: RNAcentral